This 422-nucleotide ribosomal RNA is filed under the name uncultured Lachnospiraceae bacterium. Its description in RNAcentral is "bacterial SSU rRNA". It matches the Rfam family "Bacterial small subunit ribosomal RNA", at positions 355 to 794 of the family's 1533-position model. Lineage: Bacteria; Bacillati; Bacillota; Clostridia; Lachnospirales; Lachnospiraceae. The record is from RNAcentral.
UGGGGAAUAUUGCACAAUGGGGGAAACCCUGAUGCAGCAACGCCGCGUGAGUGAAGAAGUAUUUCGGUAUGUAAAGCUCUAUCAGCAGGGAAGAUAAUGACGGUACCUGACUAAGAAGCUCCGGCUAAAUACGUGCCAGCAGCCGCGGUAAUACGUAUGGAGCAAGCGUUAUCCGGAUUUACUGGGUGUAAAGGGUGCGUAGGUGGCAGGGCAAGUCAGAUGUGAAAGACCGGGGCUCAACCCCGGGGCUGCGUUUGAAACUGCUUUGCUGGAGUGCAGGAGAGGCAGGCGGAAUUCCUAGUGUAGCGGUGAAAUGCGUAGAUAUUAGGAGGAACACCAGUGGCGAAGGCGGCCUGCUGGACUGAUACUGACACUGAGGCACGAAAGCGUGGGGAGCAAACAGGAUUAGAUACCCUGGUAGU